Molecule: ribosomal RNA, 477 nt
Filed under: uncultured bacterium
Lineage: Bacteria
Description: partial 16S ribosomal RNA
Rfam family: Bacterial small subunit ribosomal RNA
Source: RNAcentral
GAUUAACGCUGGCGGCGUGCAUAACACAUGCAAGUCGAACGAUGAAACUUUAAUGAACCCUUCGGGGAGAAUUAAAGCGGAUUAGUGGCGAACGGGUGAGUAACGCGUGAGUAACCUGCCUUACACAAGGGGAUAGCCUUUGGAAACGAAGAAUAAUACCCUAUAAAACCAUAAAAGCACAUGCAAUUAUGGUCAAAGUGAUAGCGGUGUAAGAUGGACUUGCGUCUGAUUAGCUAGUUGGUGAGAUAAAAGCCCACCAAGGCAACGAUCAGUAGCCGGCUUGAGAGAGUGUACGGCCCCAUUGGGACUGAGACACGGCCCAGACUCCUACGGGAGGCAGCAGUGGGGAAUUUUGCACAAUGGGGGAAACCCUGAUGCAGCGACGCCGCGUGAUUUAGAAGGCCUUCGGGUUGUAAAAAUCUUUUGUAUAGGAAGAAAAUGACAGUACUAUACGAAUAAGGUCCGGCUAACUACGUG